CGACAUUUACUGUGAUAGGCAAUGAAAUUGGUGCAAAUAAAUUACGGACCAACAUUGUUUAAUCUCAUUGGACAGAUCGUUAUAACUCAAUAGUACAGCAGGUAAAAUAUCUUUUUCAAAAUCUUCCACCUGCCAAAUUUCACUAUCUAAGAUAUUUUGCCACUCUUCUCUAGUUUUUUUAACCACAACAAACCCCAGAUAGUUUUAGCCGCAAGUGGCAACAUUCUGGUUUAGACAAUUAUUUCUACCAAUUUCUUCUAAUUGUUCGCACUCUAAACGAGAUCGAUUGAGAAAAGCAAAUCGUUUAAAUAGCGACAACAUUCUGGUUUAGACAAUUCUUUAAUGAAGAUAAGAUAGAAUUAUUAAUGCGUUGAUGAAGUGAAUUCAGUUCACCUAAAUUAGGAGUAGAACCUUCUAAAUUUUCGAUGAUGGCUUUCGCAAUUCGAAACUCAUCGAAAGGGUCCGAAACACAAACCCAGAUCCUAACAUUAAAAUUGUUGAUUACAUCUGCAUCGUUGUAAGCCAAUUGAGCAAGAGUUGUCUUUCCGAUACCACCCAUCCCUACGAGAGAGAUGAGUUGGAUGGCAUUUGGUUGUUCAGCAGUUUCACUUAACAACUUGCCCUUCAGAGCAUUUUUCUCCUCAUUUCGACCACACACUUCAGACACAUUAAUUAAGGCAGUACUUUGCGUCCUCUCAGAUUUAUCCUCCUUACUUCUAGUGACACUCAAAUUAAAAGUAUCUUUCUGGCUAGCAAUAUCAUCUAAAGUUUCAUUCAUUUCUUUUAUCUUUUUAGCAAUAUCACAACACAGAAAGAGUUGUUUGAAACCAAAGCAAGAGGCAGCAGGAAAGAAAGAGAUGCAUACCUUCUGCAGGAAAGAAAGAGCAUUAUCAGCAUCAACUCCCUCGAUUUGCAGUUUGAGCCUGGCAGUAUUCCACUCAUCCAAUACAUCUUCAGUGUCGUAGGAUGCGUGUUUGAGCUUGUCUAAAGAAAUUUCAGAAAUAUGUUUUCACUACAACUGUUAGAUGCAUGAAUAAAACAGAGGACGAUACAACAUCAGAUUUGACCACUGAUUGAAUUGCUGUUCAUAUGACUGCAGUUAAAAAAAAAAAAAAACAUCGAUGAAUACCAAAACACAAGUCACUGUCGUUAAUAUUUCUCUUAUUAACGCAGGUGAGAUUACCUUGAUGAAUGGAGGCGGUUGGUGUGUUCACUGGGCUCAAAGUACAUGACUGCUGGAGAUGAUGCUGCUUUUGGAAUGAUAGGUUGGGCUGAGAGUUUCAUGCAAUCAUUGUUUCCCAGGUGGUUGUAGCUAACAGAUAAUUUGGCACCCACCAGCCAAUCAAUUUCAUCACAAUCAGAAACCAUCUUUUUCCAUAAAGUGCUUAUAACGAUCAAAACUAUAUAUAUACCUGAUUCCAGCCCUUACAAGAAAAUAAACCAUAACAGACUUCAUCUUUGUCUUGCCAAUCUUCAAUUCUUCAUCUCUUCUACUGUUGCUCCGAAUGGCGAAAACAAUAAGCGCUGCAAACAAAAACGAAGUUAAACAAAAGAAAGGCACAAUCUUUUGCUUGUCUAAAAAACUUCAACCGAACAACAAAGCAAAGAGCAAGGUUAUCAAAUUUAAGAACCUAAAAUCUCAGCCUCCUUAAUUUUCUCCAAAGAAGCAAGAAGGUUCACCAUUGUACCUUCUCCAUCAUAAGAUCCAACUCUAUUUAAUGAUUCUUUAGUGAGCCAAAAAAUUGGCUUGUUGCACUUUGUCCUUUGUGGCACAGGAGAUUCAUCUGAGAACAAAAAUUAAAUCAAUAAAGUGACUCGCACUUGAUUAAGAUUUAAUCAAAAAAUUUAAUAAGAAACUCUUGAUUGCUAUGAAGCCAACAGUGAGAGUUCACUGUUCCUACGCCACCCCACAGGCAUACUCUAAAAAUAAGCCAAAAAAAAAAAUCCGAAGAAAUUCUGAUUUCCAAAUUGACCGACCAAAGUUAAAAAAUGAAAAGAAUAAGAAUCUACAGAGCCUGCUGUACGGCCAAGGCGGAUGUACGGUACAGCAGUUUUAUUUAGUUUCUAUCCGACAUUUACUGUGAUAGGCAAUGAAAUUGGUGCAAAUAAAUUACGGACCAACAUUGUUUAAUCUCAUUGGACAGAUCGUUAUAACUCAAUAGUACAGCAGGUAAAAUAUCUUUUUCAAAAUCUUCCACCUGCCAAAUUUCACUAUCUAAGAUAUUUUGCCACUCUUCUCUAGUUUUUUUAACCACAACAAACCCCAGAUAGUUUUAGCCGCAAGUGGCAACAUUCUGGUUUAGACAAUUAUUUCUACCAAUUUCUUCUAAUUGUUCGCACUCUAAACGAGAUCGAUUGAGAAAAGCAAAUCGUUUAAAUAGCGACAACAUUCUGGUUUAGACAAUUCUUUAAUGAAGAUAAGAUAGAAUUAUUAAUGCGUUGAUGAAGUGAAUUCAGUUCACCUAAAUUAGGAGUAGAACCUUCUAAAUUUUCGAUGAUGGCUUUCGCAAUUCGAAACUCAUCGAAAGGGUCCGAAACACAAACCCAGAUCCUAACAUUAAAAUUGUUGAUUACAUCUGCAUCGUUGUAAGCCAAUUGAGCAAGAGUUGUCUUUCCGAUACCACCCAUCCCUACGAGAGAGAUGAGUUGGAUGGCAUUUGGUUGUUCAGCAGUCUCACUUAACAACUUGCCCUUCAGAGCAUUUUUCUCCUCAUUUCGACCACACACUUCAGACACAUUAAUUAAGGCAGUACUUUGCGUCCUCUCAGAUUUAUCCUCCUUACUUCUAGUGACACUCAAAUUAAACGUAUCUUUCUGUCGGGAAAUAUUAUCUAAAGUUUCAUUCAUUUCUUUUAUCUUUUUAGCAAUAUCACGACGCAGAAAGAGUUGUUCGAAACCAAAGCAAGAGGCAGCAGGAAAGAAAGAGCUGCAUAACUUCUGCAGGAAAGAAAGAGCAUUAUCAGCAUCAACUCCCUCGUUUUGCAGUUUGCCCCUGGCAGUAUUCCACUCAUCCAACACAUCAUCAAUGUCGUAGGAUGCUUGUUUGAGCUUGUCUAACCAGAGUCUCACGUGUUCCUCCUUCACUUGCCUUCGCUCUGCAUCAGCCAGCACAGCUUGAAUGGCUUCUAAAUUGUCUUGCAGCCUUUUCACUUCUUUUUCGACGCCCGUUACCAGCCUCACCUGUUCUUUUGCCUCUUCAACUGCCGUUGAAUUCAGCUGCUUUAAGACAGCGGACACGAUCGCAUCAACCAUUUUGAAAGUUGGAAGCUUAAAGAUGAGAGAAUGAAAUUUGUGAGUUAUAAUUUCUGGACUUACAUGUAUGCAGGAGAAGACUUAGAUAACAUAUAGGUGAAAAACAAUCGGAGUUGACUCCGAACAAUCGAACUGAUCGCUUGAAUGGGUUCGGUUUGGUUCGGUUUGCUUUCGUUUCAGAUUACGAAAUAAUAAAUUAAAUAAAAAUAAUAGUAAGAUAAAAUUAUUAUGAAAUAAUUAUAGUUAUGUGAAAUGUUCAUUAGAAUAAAUUUUUUAUUUCUCCACUAAAUAAUUUUUUUCUCUUAUAGUUUUUUAUAUUUCUUACAAAUUU
This 3583-nucleotide long non-coding RNA is filed under the name Citrus sinensis (sweet orange). RNAcentral describes it as "long non-coding RNA (CSIN_LNC000153)". Lineage: Eukaryota; Viridiplantae; Streptophyta; Magnoliopsida; Sapindales; Rutaceae. The record is from RNAcentral.